GAUGAACGCUAGCUACAGGCUUAACACAUGCAAGUCGCGGGGCAUCAUGGAGGUUGCUUGCAAUUUCUGAUGGCGACCGGCGCACGGGUGAGUAUCGCGUAUCCAACCUGCCCCUUACUUGGGGAUACCCCGUUGAAAGACGGCCUAAUACCCGAUGUGUUUCAUUGACGGCAUCCGAUAUGAAACAAAGGUUUUCCGGUAAGGGAUGGGGAUGCGUCUGAUUAGCUAGUUGGCGGGGUAACGGCCCACCAAGGCGACGAUCAGUAGGGGUUCUGAGAGGAAGGUCCCCCACAUUGGAACUGAGACACGGUCCAAACUCCUACGGGAGGCAGCAGUGAGGAAUAUUGGUCAAUGGGCGAGAGCCUGAACCAGCCAAGUAGCGUGCAGGAUGACGGCCCUAUGGGUUGUAAACUGCUUUUAUGCGGGGAUAAAGUGAGGGACGUGUCCUUCAUUGCAGGUACCGCAUGAAUAAGGACCGGCUAAUUCCGUGCCAGCAGCCGCGGUAAUACGGAAGGUCCGGGCGUUAUCCGGAUUUAUUGGGUUUAAAGGGAGCGUAGGCCGUGGAUUAAGCGUGUUGUGAAAUGCAGGUGCUCAACGUCUGCACUGCAGCGCGAACUGGUCCACUUGAGUGUGCGCAACGCAGGCGGAAUUCGUCGUGUAGCGGUGAAAUGCUUAGAUAUGACGAAGAACUCCGAUUGCGAAGGCAGCUUGCGGGAGCACAACUGACGCUGAAGCUCGAAAGUGCGGGUAUCGAACAGG
Molecule: ribosomal RNA, 759 nt
Filed under: uncultured Prevotella sp.
Lineage: Bacteria; Pseudomonadati; Bacteroidota; Bacteroidia; Bacteroidales; Prevotellaceae
Description: bacterial SSU rRNA
Rfam family: Bacterial small subunit ribosomal RNA
Source: RNAcentral